GCACGUGUGGCCAAGUGGUAAGGCGCAGCACUCGUAAGGGAUUAUGCUGAGAUCGAGGGUUCAAAUCCCUUCAUGUGCA
This is a non-coding RNA of Aspergillus tanneri, 79 nucleotides long. The record is from the annotation of a RefSeq genome assembly. Lineage: Eukaryota; Fungi; Ascomycota; Eurotiomycetes; Eurotiales; Aspergillaceae.